Molecule: transfer RNA, 70 nt
Filed under: Aeolothrips indicus
Lineage: Eukaryota; Metazoa; Arthropoda; Insecta; Thysanoptera; Aeolothripidae
Description: tRNA-Thr
Source: RNAcentral
GCCUAUUUAGUUUUAUAUUAGUUAAAAUACUAGUCUUGUAAACUAGAGAAAAGCAGUAUCAUAAUAAAUA